AUACUUACCUGGCAGGGGAGAUAGCAUGAUCCCUAAGGUGGUUUUUCCCAGGGGGAGGUUUUUCCAUUGCACUCCGGAUGUGUUGACCCCUGCGAUUUCCCGAAGUGUGGGAAACUCGACUGCAUAAUUUGUGGUAGUGGGGGACUGUGUUCGCGCUUUCCCCUG
Small nuclear RNA from Pongo abelii (Sumatran orangutan), 165 nucleotides. Its record names the gene U1. It matches the Rfam family "U1 spliceosomal RNA". From Rfam's summary of the family: U1 is a small nuclear RNA (snRNA) component of the spliceosome (involved in pre-mRNA splicing). Its 5' end forms complementary base pairs with the 5' splice junction, thus defining the 5' donor site of an intron. NCBI's taxonomy places the organism in Eukaryota, Metazoa, Chordata, Mammalia, Primates, Hominidae. The record is from Ensembl.